RNAcentral lists this ribosomal RNA (425 nucleotides) under uncultured bacterium. RNAcentral describes it as "partial 16S ribosomal RNA". It matches the Rfam family "Bacterial small subunit ribosomal RNA", at positions 354 to 796 of the family's 1533-position model. The record is from RNAcentral.
GUGGGGAAUUUUGGACAAUGGGCGCAAGCCUGAUCCAGCCAUGCCGCGUGAGUGAUGAAGGCCCUAGGGUUGUAAAGCUCUUUCACCGAUGAAGAUAAUGACGGUAGUCGGAGAAGAAGCCCCGGCUAACUUCGUGCCAGCAGCCGCGGUAAUACGAAGGGGGCUAGCGUUGUUCGGAAUUACUGGGCGUAAAGCGCACGUAGGCGGAUAUUUAAGUCAGGGGUGAAAUCCCAGAGCUCAACUCUGGAACUGCCUUUAAUGCUGGGUAUCUCGAGUAUGGAAGAGGUGAGUGGAAUUCCGAGUGUAGAGGUGAAAUUCGUAGAUAUUCGGAGGAACACCAGUGGCGAAGGCGGCUCACUGGUCCAUUACUGACGCUGAGGUGCGAAAGCGUGGGGAGCAAACAGGAUUAGAUACCCCAGUAGUCC